Molecule: ribosomal RNA, 1189 nt
Filed under: Salmonella enterica
Lineage: Bacteria; Pseudomonadati; Pseudomonadota; Gammaproteobacteria; Enterobacterales; Enterobacteriaceae
Description: partial 23S ribosomal RNA
Rfam family: Bacterial large subunit ribosomal RNA
Source: RNAcentral
GGGUUGUGAGGUUAAGCGACUAAGCGUACACGGUGGAUGCCCUGGCAGUCAGAGGCGAUGAAGGGCGUGCUAAUCUGCGAUAAGCGCCGGUAAGGUGAUAUGAACCGUUAUAACCGGCGAUACCCGAAUGGGGAAACCCAGUGUGAUUCGUCACACUAUCAUUAACUGAAUCCAUAGGUUAAUGAGGCGAACCGGGGGAACUGAAACAUCUAAGUACCCCGAGGAAAAGAAAUCAACCGAGAUUCCCCCAGUAGCGGCGAGCGAACGGGGAGGAGCCCAGAGCCUGAAUCAGCAUGUGUGUUAGUGGAAGCGUCUGGAAAGGCGCGCGAUACAGGGUGACAGCCCCGUACACAAAAGCGCAUGUGCUGUGAGCUCGAUGAGUAGGGCGGGACACGUGGUAUCCUGUCUGAAUAUGGGGGGACCAUCCUCCAAGGCUAAAUACUCCUGACUGACCGAUAGUGAACCAGUACCGUGAGGGAAAGGCGAAAAGAACCCCGGCGAGGGGAGUGAAAAAGAACCUGAAACCGUGUACGUACAAGCAGUGGGAGCACCCUUUGGGGUGUGACUGCGUACCUUUUGUAUAAUGGGUCAGCGACUUAUAUUCUGUAGCAAGGUUAACCGAAUAGGGGAGCCGGAGGGAAACCGAGUCUUAAUUGGGCGUUAAGUUGCAGGGUAUAGACCCGAAACCCGGUGAUCUAGCCAUGGGCAGGUUGAAGGUUGGGUAACACUAACUGGAGGACCGAACCGACUAAUGUUGAAAAAUUAGCGGAUGACCUGUGGCUGGGGGUGAAAGGCCAAUCAAACCGGGAGAUAGCUGGUUCUCCCCGAAAGCUAUUUAGGUAGCGCCUCGUGAAUUCAUCUCCGGGGGUAGAGCACUGUUUCGGCUAGGGGGUCAUCCCGACUUACCAACCCGAUGCAAACUGCGAAUACCGGAGAAUGUUAUCACGGGAGACACACGGCGGGUGCUAACGUCCGUCGUGAAGAGGGAAACAACCCAGACCGCCAGCUAAGGUCCCAAAGUCAUGGUUAAGUGGGAAACGAUGUGGGAAGGCCCAGACAGCCAGGAUGUUGGCUUAGAAGCAGCCAUCAUUUAAAGAAAGCGUAAUAGCUCACUGGUCGAGUCGGCCUGCGCGGAAGAUGUAACGGGGCUAAACCAUGCACCGAAGCUGCGGCAGCGACACUCAGGUGU